UCACAAGUUUAGGGGCUGACAGCCUCAGCACAGAAGGUUCGUUGGGUAAUAAUCAGAGGGCAGAGGCCCGAGCAUAACUUUGUAAAGGGUCUCUGGCGGGGCAGAUGGUCUCCCUGCCAAGGACACAACAAGAAGUUUGAGAAUAGGAAGGUCUGAACUAAUUUUCCCAAUCAGAAAAAGAAGACUAGCUCCUCAUUUCUAGCAAGGAAUAAUACAAGCUGCCUGGGAGCAGAGAGAACACCCAAGGGUACAUGAUGUUCUGUAUGGCCCCAGGGCCUCUCCCUACCUUUGCACACAGCGACUCUGAGCCAGGAGACUGCAGCUGCCCCAGAGAUCUGCACUCAGCACCCUAGAUUCUGGGGAAUUUCCCUCUGAGUCAUAACCUGGGCACAGAGCCUACAACUCAGCCAAGUAGUAGGGCUGAGUGCAAGAGACUCAUCUUGGGCAAGGAGGAAGGGGGCAGAGCUUUUGCACUCAUUCUCCUGUUCUGCUAUAAAGGGAGGGGCUGGACCGGUCCCUUCACAACUCAUCCUUCUAGCCUUCCAGCUCAUUCUUCAGCCCACGUGCUCCAGCCCUGCCAGCUAUGGACCCCAACUGUGACUGCUCAAAUGGUGGCUCUUGCACCUGUGGUGACUCCUGCAAAUGCAAAUCAUGCUCCUGUACCUCUUGUAAGAAAAGCUGCUGCUCCUGCUGCCCAGCAGGAUGUGCCAAGUGUGCCCAGGGCUGUGUCUGCAAAGCCCCCCAGACCGAGAGCUGCAGCUGCUGCCACUGAUGCUCCUGCCUCCCUGUGCCUGUAGAAUAGAGGAAUCUGUAUAUUUUCACGCACCGUGAAUGUUUUUCUACUUUUUCCCUAUGAAAUAUGUAAACGAAAAUAAACUAACAAUGCUUUUCUAUAUGUUGUUGUGU
This 906-nucleotide long non-coding RNA is filed under the name Phascolarctos cinereus (koala). RNAcentral's name for it is "lncRNA (ENSPCIG00000033213.1)". The record is from RNAcentral. Lineage: Eukaryota; Metazoa; Chordata; Mammalia; Diprotodontia; Phascolarctidae.